This 820-nucleotide ribosomal RNA is filed under the name uncultured eukaryote. RNAcentral's name for it is "SSU rRNA". It matches the Rfam family "Eukaryotic small subunit ribosomal RNA", at positions 629 to 1426 of the family's 1831-position model. The record is from RNAcentral.
CGGUGUUUAACUGGCGUGAUGUGGGACGUCCUACCGGUGGGCUUAGCCUCGCGAGGGGCGGCCCAACUAAUAUCCCGUCGCGGUGCUCUUUACUGAGUGUCGAGUCGGGCCGGUACGUUUACUUUGAACAAAUUAGAGUGCUUAAAGCAGGCUAUCCUCGCCUGAAUACUGCGUGCAUGGAAUAAUGGAAUAGGACCUCGGUUCUAUUUUGUUGGUUUUCGGAACCCCGAGGUAAUGAUUAAUAGGGACAGAUGGGGGCAUUCGUAUUGCGACGUUAGAGGUGAAAUUCUUGGAUCGUCGCAAGACGGACAGAAGCGAAAGCAUUUGCCAAAAAUGUUUUCAUUAAUCAAGAACGAAAGUUUAGAGGUUCGAAGGCGAUCAGAUACCGCCCUAGUUCUAACCAUAAACGAUGCCAGCUAGCGAUCCGCCGAAGUUCCUCCGAUGACUCGGCGGGCAGCUUCCGGGAAACCAAAGCUUUUGGGUUCCGGGGGAAGUAUGGUUGCAAAGCUGAAACUUAAAGGAAUUGACGGAAGGGCACCACCAGGAGUGGAGCCUGCGGCUUAAUUUGACUCAACACGGGAAACCUCACCAGGCCCAGACACCGGAAGGAUUGACAGAUUGAUAGCUCUUUCUUGAUUCGGUGGGUGGUGGUGCAUGGCCGUUCUUAGUUGGUGGAGCGAUUUGUCUGGUUAAUUCCGAUAACGAACGAGACUCUAGCCUGCUAAAUAGGCGUACCUUAUGGUAUCGCGAAGGCCCCCGGCUUCGGCCGGUGGGUUUUUACUACCAACGUACAAACAAAUCUUCUUAGAGGGACAGGCGG